RNAcentral lists this ribosomal RNA (251 nucleotides) under uncultured prokaryote. Its description in RNAcentral is "partial 16S rRNA". It matches the Rfam family "Bacterial small subunit ribosomal RNA", at positions 525 to 775 of the family's 1533-position model. The record is from RNAcentral.
ACGAAGGGUGCAAGCGUUGUUCGGAAUUACUGGGCGUAAAGGGCGCGUAGGCGGUUACGUAAGAUAGAGGUGAAAUUCCAAGGCUUAACCAUGGAACUGCCUUUAUAACUAUGUAGCUAGAGUAUGGUAGAGGUAAGCGGAAUACCCAGUGUAGAGGUGAAAUGCGUAGAUAUUGGGUAGAGCACCGGAUGCGAAGGCGGCUUACUGGGCCAUUUCUGACGCUGAGGCGCGAAAGCGUGGGUAGCAAACAG